Molecule: ribosomal RNA, 251 nt
Filed under: uncultured Smithella sp.
Lineage: Bacteria; Pseudomonadati; Thermodesulfobacteriota; Syntrophia; Syntrophales; Smithellaceae
Description: partial 16S ribosomal RNA
Rfam family: Bacterial small subunit ribosomal RNA
Source: RNAcentral
UUGGGCACUUUAAAGAGACUGCCGGUGUUAAACCGGAGGAAGGUGGGAUGACGUCAAGUCCUCAUGGCCUUUAUGCCCAGGGCUACACACGUGCUACAAUGAGUGGUACAAAGAGAGGCAAGCUCGCGAGAGUAAGCAAAUCUCAAAAAGCCAUCCUCAGUUCGGAUUGGAGUCUGCAACUCGACCCCAUGAAGUCGGAAUCGCUAGUAAUCGCGGAUCAGCAUGCCGCGGUGAAUACGUUCCCGGGCCUU